Molecule: ribosomal RNA, 420 nt
Filed under: uncultured bacterium
Lineage: Bacteria
Description: partial 16S ribosomal RNA
Rfam family: Bacterial small subunit ribosomal RNA
Source: RNAcentral
AUAUUGGACCAUGUGGGAAACCCUGAACUAGCCAUCCCGCGUGUAUGAUGAAGGCCUUCGGCUUGUAAAGUACUUGUGGCUGAGAAGAAUAGGUACCCCCUAAUAUGAGAUCCUGCUGACGGUGUCUGCAGAAUAAGCACCCUCUAACUACGUGCCAGCAGCCGCGGUAAUACGUAGGGUGCAAGAGUUAAGCGGAAUUACUGGGCGUAAAGCGUGUGUAGGCGGUUCGGAAAGAAAAAUGUGAAGAACAAGAGCUCAACCUUGGAACUGCGUUUUUAACUGCAGAGCUAGAGUAUGUGAGAGGGGGGUAGAAUUCCACGUGUAGCAGUGAAAUGCGUAGAUAUGUGGGUAAAUACCGAUGGCGAAGACAGCCCCCUGGGAUAAUACUGACGCUCAGACACGAAAGCGUGGGGAGCAAAC